CUUCCUGGUUACUUCAGCCACCUGAGACCUCUUCACCAGGGCCCUGUGACCUGCCCAUUGAAAAUUCCUGGACAAACAUGAAUGGAUAUCAACUGAAAAUGGUGCUGGAACAGUGGGAAUCGUCAUGCACAGGAAGCAUUGGGAGAUGUAGUUUACUCUAAGCUUCCAGAAGUUUGGAACAAAAUCGAACAAACUAGAUACAUUUGGAACUUUGGAAAGUGUGAACUCUAUUGUCCAGUGCUAUUGUCUACCAACAGGAAGUAACUGAAAUGACUGUUGCUCUUGCAGAAGUUCCAGAACUUUUCAAAAAAUCUUGUUAGGAAGUUGAUGGGUUAAUCAAAAUGGCUCUGAGCAGCCCUUCAGAACUGGAUGAACUGAUGCCGGAGGACUCAUAGGAGAGGUUUACUUCACUCAUUGGUUGAAUAAUUUGGAAGACAUAUCAUGAAAUGAUUAGACGAGACCAGGUUGGGACUUCUGGGUUAACAUGGCUGCAAUCUAGAAGCGAAUCGCUUCCUCUCCCCAGCACCUAACAAAAUAGACUACCUCAAAAGAGCAUAAAAAUCACCUUUGGAAGAAGAGAGGGACUCUCCAGUACCCCACAGAAAUGAAGGAACUGAACAAAAAUCUCCAAAUCACAGAAGUUUAUGUGACUCUAAGCCAUUCUUUAACGAUAUAAAGGAGAUACUAAAGCCAGAAACAAAGGCAAGGAAAGAUGUUAUGCCACUUUGAAGAACUGAAAACUUAAGGAUCCCCAGAGCUAACUCUAAAG
RNAcentral lists this long non-coding RNA (769 nucleotides) under Monodelphis domestica (gray short-tailed opossum). RNAcentral's name for it is "lncRNA (ENSMODG00000047439.1)". The record is from RNAcentral. Lineage: Eukaryota; Metazoa; Chordata; Mammalia; Didelphimorphia; Didelphidae.